This is a non-coding RNA of Callorhinus ursinus (northern fur seal), 239 nucleotides long. NCBI's taxonomy places the organism in Eukaryota, Metazoa, Chordata, Mammalia, Carnivora, Otariidae. The record is from RefSeq and is a predicted model, not a curated record.
GUUCAGACCUGUGCUCUUCCGACCAUUUUUAAUGAUCUCGGAUGACCAAACCAGCCUUCGGAGCGUUCUCUGUCCUACUUCUGACUUUACUUGUGGUGUGGCCAUGUUCAUUAUAAUCUCAAAGGAGAAAAAAAACCCUGUAAAAAAAGCAAAAACAACAACAAAAAAAACAAUUUUAUUCCGAGCAUUCCAGUAACUUUUUUUGUGUAUGAACUUAGCUGUACUAUAAGUAGUUGGUU